CGCGCAGGUGGUUUCUUAAGUCUGAUGUGAAAGCCCACGGCUCAACCGUGGAGGGUCAUUGGAAACUGGGAGACUUGAGUGCAGAAGAGGAUAGUGGAAUUCCAAGUGUAGCGGUGAAAUGCGUAGAGAUUUGGAGGAACGCCAGUGGCGAAGGCGCCUUUCUGGACUGUGUCUGACGCUGAGAUGCGAAAGCCAGGGUAGCGAACG
This 207-nucleotide ribosomal RNA is filed under the name uncultured bacterium. Its description in RNAcentral is "partial 16S ribosomal RNA". It matches the Rfam family "Bacterial small subunit ribosomal RNA", at positions 568 to 774 of the family's 1533-position model. The record is from RNAcentral.